RNAcentral lists this ribosomal RNA (251 nucleotides) under uncultured bacterium. RNAcentral's name for it is "partial 16S ribosomal RNA". It matches the Rfam family "Bacterial small subunit ribosomal RNA", at positions 524 to 776 of the family's 1533-position model. The record is from RNAcentral.
UACGGAGGGUGCGAGCGUUGUCCGGAAUCACUGGGCGUAAAGGGCGCGUAGGUGGUUUGAUAAGGGUGUGGUGAAAGCCCGGGGCUCAACCCCGGGUCUGCCGUGCCGACUGUCAAACUCGAGGGCUGUAGAGGCAGACGGAAUUCCGGGUGUAGCGGUGGAAUGCGUAGAGAUCCGGAGGAGACCGGUGGCGAAGGCGGUCUGCUGGGCAGUUCUGACACUGAUGCGCGACAGCGUGGGGAGCAAACAGG